Long non-coding RNA from Sander lucioperca (pikeperch), 923 nucleotides. RefSeq lists it as uncharacterized. The record is from RefSeq and is a predicted model, not a curated record. NCBI's taxonomy places the organism in Eukaryota, Metazoa, Chordata, Actinopteri, Perciformes, Percidae. The transcript has 2 exons.
UAAUUUGAGUUAGAUGAAUCUUCCAAAGCUAGUCUUUUUUAGUACUAAUUUCUCUAAUUUCUUACUAUUCCUUUGUUGUGACUCAGCCAGAAAACAGUCCAUGAAAGCACAAACGGGGAGUUUUCUUCUAUCUUGAUUCAACCAAAAACGCAUCCAAUCAACAUAGGGGCAUGCACUCCUUGAUGUCCUUCAUCUCCUCCUCGUAGUCUUUGAUCGUCUGCUCCACCUUCUUGCGGUCUGUCUUUGAAUGGACUGUGUCAGUGAUGUUGGCUGAAGCAGACGCCACCCCACCUGCCGUAGCUACACCAAUGCCUACAGCAGUGACGAUGAGCGAUGCUCCUGCUGUAAAGGGCGCCAAAAUGAGGCCAGUGAUAGUAGUGAUAGACCCAGCAACACUGGCCACCCCACCACCGACACAGGCCUUGACGGUUUUCUUAUGGAAAAUAUCAGCUGAAUCAGCCAAAGCGAGCAGCUCUAGGAUUCGCUGCUGGAGUGAGGCACCGCGCUGGUUAAAAAAGCGAACAAAAAGUUGAGCUGCCAUGAAGACACGAUCAGCUGCUUGUUCCACCACUCUGAGACAAGGAAACAAGGAAAAUAUGUUAAAACACUGGAUUAUAAUGCAAAUUUGAGUUGAAAAAAAAAGGACCUAAAUAACUUUAAACUAAGAACCAUUUAUGUAUUGUAUAUAACAGUGAAGCAUUAAGCUGCCACUCUUUUGGUAAAGGUUAGUUCUGUAGACAAGAUGAGUAAUAUGUCAACCUUAGUUGUUAAGGAUAAACAAACUAUUUUUUAAAGGUAGAAAUGUCAUAUCAACUGUGUCGAUUGUCUGGGAUUUAAGCAUAGUAUUGUGAUACAAUGUUUUCUGUUAAUAUUGGCCUGUGCAACUCUUAAUCCUUAGAAAAUAAAUUCUACAAGCAAAUUCA